RNAcentral lists this long non-coding RNA (264 nucleotides) under Panax ginseng (ginseng). Its description in RNAcentral is "long non-coding RNA (PGIN_LNC008368)". The record is from RNAcentral. Lineage: Eukaryota; Viridiplantae; Streptophyta; Magnoliopsida; Apiales; Araliaceae.
UCUUUUGAGGUAAGGGAUUUUAAGGGUUGUUAUAUUUUUCAUGUUUCGUAACUUUGAAGACCUUAAAAAAUUCUGAAAAAAUUUGAAAUGAUAAUUUGAUGAGUUUUGUUGUUUGUGUCCAAAAAUGGUGAUUUUUGGAUGUAUAGAUUAAGAGUUAUGAAUUUUACGGGAAAAGACUAUUUUAAAAGUAACCGCUUAUAACUCCUUGUGGUUAACUCCAAAAUUGAUGAAAUUUUUAUUGGGAGUACAUAUAUAUAACAUGGG